Molecule: ribosomal RNA, 253 nt
Filed under: uncultured bacterium
Lineage: Bacteria
Description: partial 16S ribosomal RNA
Rfam family: Bacterial small subunit ribosomal RNA
Source: RNAcentral
UACGUAGGGUGCGAGCGUUAAUCGGAAUUACUGGGCGUAAAGCGUGCGCAGGCGGCUUUGUAAGUCAGAUGUGAAAUCCCCGGGCUCAACCUGGGAACUGCGUUCGAAACUGCAAGGCUAGAGUGUGUCAGAGGGGGGUAGAAUUCCACGUGUAGCAGUGAAAUGCGUAGAGAUGUGGAGGAAUACCAAUGGCGAAGGCAGCCCCCUGGGAUAACACUGACGCUCAUGCACGAAAGCGUGGGGAGCAAACAGG